AGUGAACGCUGGCGGUAGGCCUAACACAUGCAAGUCGAACGGCAGCACAGUAAGAGCUUGCUCUUACGGGUGGCGAGUGGCGGACGGGUGAGUAAUACAUCGGAAUCUACUUUUUCGUGGGGGAUAACGUAGGGAAACUUACGCUAAUACCGCAUACGACCUACUGGUGAAAGCAGGGGAUCUUCGGACCUUUCGCGAUUGAAUGAGCCGAUGUCGGAUUAGCUAGUUGGCGGGGUACAGGCGCACCAAGGCGACGAUCCGUAGCUGGUCUGAGAGGCUGAUCACCAAAACUGGACCUAGGACACGGUCAAGACUCCUACGGGAGGCAGCCGUGGGGAAUAUUGGCCAAUGGGCGCAAGCCUGAUCAAGCCAUACCGCGUGGGUGCAGAAGGCAUUAGGGUUGUAAAGCCCUUUUGUUGGGAAAGAAAAGCAGCAGGUUAAUACCCCGCUGUUAAGACGGUACCCAAAGAAUAAGCCCCGGCUAACUUCGUG
Molecule: ribosomal RNA, 492 nt
Filed under: uncultured bacterium
Lineage: Bacteria
Description: partial 16S ribosomal RNA
Rfam family: Bacterial small subunit ribosomal RNA
Source: RNAcentral